Molecule: small RNA, 27 nt
Filed under: Bombyx mori (domestic silkworm)
Lineage: Eukaryota; Metazoa; Arthropoda; Insecta; Lepidoptera; Bombycidae
Description: ovarian small RNA-15898
Source: RNAcentral
GAGGAUGACGCACCGCCAUCGUCAGAA